Molecule: ribosomal RNA, 496 nt
Filed under: uncultured bacterium
Lineage: Bacteria
Description: partial 16S ribosomal RNA
Rfam family: Bacterial small subunit ribosomal RNA
Source: RNAcentral
GAUGAACGCUGGCGGCGUGCCUAAUACAUGCAAGUCGAGCGAACAGGCGAGGAGCUUGCUCCUCUGACGUUAGCGGCGGACGGGUGAGUAACGCGUGGAUAACCUACCUAUAAGACUGGGAUAACUUCGGGAAACCGGAGCUAAUACCGGAUAAUAUAUUGAACCGCAUGGUUCAAUAGUGAAAGACGGUUUUGCUGUCACUUAUGAUGGAUCCGCGCCGCAUUAGCUAGUUGGUAAGGUAACGGCUUACCAAGGCAACGAUGCGUAGCCGACCUGAGAGGGUGAUCGGCCACACUGGAACUGAGACACGGUCCAGACUCCUACGGGAGGCAGCAGUAGGGAAUCUUCCGCAAUGGGCGAAAGCCUGACGGAGCAACGCCGCGUGAGUGAUGAAGGUCUUCGGAUCGUAAAACUCUGUUAUUAGGGAAGAACAAAUGUGUAAGUAACUAUGCACGUCUUGACGGUACCUAAUCAGAAAGCCACGGCUAACUACGUG